GACGAACGCUGGCGGCGUGCUUAACACAUGCAAGUCGAACGGAAAGGCCCUGCUUUUGUGGGGUGCUCGAGUGGCGAACGGGUGAGUAACACGUGAGUAACCUGCCCUUGACUUUGGGAUAACUUCAGGAAACUGGGGCUAAUACCGGAUAGGAGCUCCUGCUGCAUGGUGGGGGUUGGAAAGUUUCGGCGGUUGGGGAUGGACUCGCGGGUUAUCAGCUUGUUGGUGGGGUAGUGGCUUACCAAGGCUUUGACGGGUAGCCGGCCUGAGAGGGUGACCGGCCACCUUGGGACUGCGAUACGGCCCAGACUCCUACGGGAGGCAGAAGUGGGGAAUAUUGCAGAAUGGGCGGAAGCCUGAUGCGGCAACGCCGCGUGCGGGAUGACGGCCUUCGGGUUGUAAACCGCUUUCGCCUGUGACGAAGCGUGAGUGACGGUAAUGGGUAAAGAAGCACCGGCUAACUACGUG
Molecule: ribosomal RNA, 468 nt
Filed under: uncultured bacterium
Lineage: Bacteria
Description: partial 16S ribosomal RNA
Rfam family: Bacterial small subunit ribosomal RNA
Source: RNAcentral